CUUUGCUUUUAUGUCUCGUAGGUAACUCUUUAGGAAGAUCAAGAUUUCUAACUAUUCUUUUAAUAUCAUUUACCCUUUCUUUAACUUUAUCUUGAUGUGCGGUUAAAUGUGCAGUAACAAACAGAAAACUUGUGCCAAAUAACAUUAAAGCUAUAGCUACUGCUCCUUUUGUUCUAAAAGCAGUUCCUGUCCUAGUUGAAAAGCUAGCAUCUUCAUGGAUGGAACAGAACCAAAUUAGAUCUCUUCUUAAGAAAAGUGCAAGAUGUAGUGUUCCUAAACCAGUACUACAGAGUAAUACGUGAGAAGGACCAAGAGUUUCUUGCAAAGCUGCCUCCCAUUCACUCCGCUCAGAACAAGAUUCUUGUGUUCCAAUUGCUAACAGGUCUGGAACAGUUUCUAUAUCUGAAGUUCGCGAUUUGGUAGUACUUUUUCAAGUUCUACUGGUCC
This 447-nucleotide unclassified non-coding RNA is filed under the name Bombus terrestris (buff-tailed bumblebee). RNAcentral describes it as "misc RNA ENSBTSG00005033398.1". Lineage: Eukaryota; Metazoa; Arthropoda; Insecta; Hymenoptera; Apidae. The record is from RNAcentral.